RNAcentral lists this unclassified non-coding RNA (868 nucleotides) under Rhizobium sp. CCBAU 83490. Its description in RNAcentral is "partial contains 16S ribosomal RNA, 16S-23S ribosomal RNA intergenic spacer, and 23S ribosomal RNA". The stretch from base 28 to 101 matches the Rfam family "tRNA". The record is from RNAcentral. Lineage: Bacteria; Pseudomonadati; Pseudomonadota; Alphaproteobacteria; Hyphomicrobiales; Rhizobiaceae.
AAAACCGCGUCGACCGGUUCCCCGAAUGGGCCCGUAGCUCAGUUGGUUAGAGCACACGCUUGAUAAGCGUGGGGUCGGAAGUUCAAGUCUUCCCGGGCCCACCAUUUGCAUUUGCAGAUGAGGGUUAGGGAUGAUGGAAUGUCAGGCGAUGCGGAUUGUUGCCGAACCUUGGGGUCUUGCCCCUGGGUGAUCGAGCUGGAGGGGCUGUAGCUCAGCUGGGAGAGCACCUGCUUUGCAAGCAGGGGGUCAGCGGUUCGAUCCCGCUCAGCUCCACCAAAUCGAUUGGUGUUGAAGCUGACGGCAUUUGUCUUUUGAAGAAAAUAAGGUUUUGCAUCGGUUUAGGCUGAUGCUUGUUCUGCAUACAUUGUGAAGAGAAGAUUGAUCUGGAGGCUUCCAGGUAUCGUGGGUUUUUGCCCAUGAUGUCCGAGCCCAGUUCCUGUGAAACCAUGGAUGGCCUAGCCGGCCGGAUGUGGUGGAGGGAUUGGAGGUAGGAAGGAAGCCUGUCGCUCUGAGCCGUUGUUGUUUGCUGAUCUUUAGGGAUGGGCAUCUGACGGACGGCUUGAUUACCGUUGCCUGACCGCGCGGUAUCGGAUCCAAUCUCGAGAAGCUGGUCUUAAGACAGGCUGCAAGUGGGCUGCUCGGCGUAGCUCCAAUAAAGCAGACCUGUCGAACACGUUAAUGGCAUUGUUGGAUUGACUGGGUUGUAAAAGGUAACCCGGUCUGUUGCUGUUUCUUUGAAGCGGGCAACGAGACGAUGAGCAUUGGCAAUGAGAACGAUUAAGUGUCGUAAGGGCAUUUGGUGGAUGCCUUGGCAUGCACAGGCGAUGAAGGACGUGAUACGCUGCGAAAAGCCGUGGGGAGCUGCGAA